This 76-nucleotide small nucleolar RNA is filed under the name Neogobius melanostomus (round goby). RNAcentral's name for it is "Small nucleolar RNA SNORD49 (ENSNMLG00000023855.1)". It matches the Rfam family "Small nucleolar RNA SNORD49". From Rfam's summary of the family: U49 belongs to the C/D class of snoRNA which contain the C (UGAUGA) and D (CUGA) box motifs. Most of the members of the box C/D family function in directing site-specific 2'-O-methylation of substrate RNAs. The record is from Rfam by way of RNAcentral. Lineage: Eukaryota; Metazoa; Chordata; Actinopteri; Gobiiformes; Gobiidae.
AACAGUGAUGAAAACAGCUACAUAGGAAGUGCCGUCUGAUGCGAUACCUGACGAUGGGAUAAAAGCUUAUCUGAGA